GUGGAAAGUGGCGGAGCUGUUGGACCUCAGUAGUGAGUUGGGGGUGGGGGAGAAGCAUAAGUGUAGACUGGUGGAGGAGGUGAUUUUUCGGGUGGGGGAGGUGAGAUGUAGUGGUAUGGAGGAGGUGGAGAUGGUGAAGGGGGAGGAGGGGAUGUGUAGACAUAGGGUGGUGGGGGUGAUUUCUCCGGCGGUGGUGGGGACUUGUAGUAGUAAGGUGGUGGAGGAGAUGGCGAUGGUGGUGGUGGGGACUUGUAGUAGUAAGGAGGGAGUGGUGAUGGAGAUGGUGGUGGGGGAGAUUUGUAGUAGUAGGGAUGAGGGGAUGGAGAUGGUGGUGGGGGAGAUUUGUAGUAGUAGGGAUGAGGGGAUGGAGAUGGUGGUGGGGGAGAUUUGUAGUAGUAGGGAUGAGGGGAUGGAGAUGGUGGUGGUGGGGAGACGUAAUGAUAAGGUGGUGGUGGAGAUUUCUCCGGCGGUGGUGGGGAGAUGUACUGAUAAGGUGGUGGUGGGGAUUUCUCCGGAGGUGGUGGGGAGAUGUAGUGAUAAGGUGGUGGUGGGGAUUUUUCCGGUGGUGGUGGGGAGAUGUACUGAUAAGGUGGUGGUGGAGAUUUUUCCGGUGGUGGUGGGGAGAUGUACUGAUAAGGUGGUGGUGGAGAUUUUUCCGGUGGUGGUGGGGAGACGUAAUAAUACGGCUUUGGUGGAGGUUUCACCGGUGGUGGCGGUGACUUGUAUAGGUAAGUUGGUGGUGGAGGUGGUGGUGAUUUAUAGACAUAAGUUGGUGGUGGUGGGGAGACGUAAUAAUACGGCUUUGGUGGAGGUUUCACUGGUGGUGGCGGUGACUUGUAUAGGUAAGUUGGUGGUGGAGGUGGUGGUGAUUUAUAGACAUAAGUUGGUGGUGGUGGGGAGACGUAAUAAUACGGCUUUGGCGGAGGUUUCACCGGUGGUGGCGGUGACUUGUAUAGGUAAGUUGGUGGUGGAGGUGGUGGUGAUUUAUAGACAUAAGUUGGUGGUGGUGGGGAGACGUAAUAAUACGGCUUUGGUGGAGGUUUCACCGGUGGUGGCGGUGACUUGUAUAGGUAAGUUGGUGGUGGAGGUGGUGGUGAUUUAUAGACAUAAGUUGGUGGCGGAGGAGAUAUGUAGUGGUAAGGAGCAGGAGUUGGCUUGGGCUUCUCACAUUCCUCAUAAGGAGUCUUGGGAGCAUAAGCAAAUGGUUUUGCGUAGAGCACGACUUCAUAGUCAGUCUUGGACUUGACUCUGAGUUCAG
This 1258-nucleotide long non-coding RNA is filed under the name Coffea arabica (coffee). RNAcentral's name for it is "long non-coding RNA (CARA_LNC002532)". Lineage: Eukaryota; Viridiplantae; Streptophyta; Magnoliopsida; Gentianales; Rubiaceae. The record is from RNAcentral.